Molecule: ribosomal RNA, 677 nt
Filed under: uncultured Methanosaeta sp.
Lineage: Archaea; Methanobacteriati; Methanobacteriota; Methanomicrobia; Methanotrichales; Methanotrichaceae
Description: bacterial SSU rRNA
Rfam family: Archaeal small subunit ribosomal RNA
Source: RNAcentral
CUCAAGGAUGGGUCUGCGGCCUAUCAGGUAGUAGUGGGUGUAGCGUACCUACUAGCCUACGACGGGUACGGGUUGUGAGAGCAAGAGCCCGGAGAUGGAUUCUGAGACACGAAUCCAGGCCCUACGGGGUGCAGCAGGCGCGAAAACUUUACAAUGCUGGAAACAGCGAUAAGGGGACCUCGAGUGCCAGGUUACAAAUCUGGCUGUCGUGAUGCCUAAAAAGCAUUGCAUAGCAAGGGCCGGGCAAGACCGGUGCCAGCCGCCGCGGUAACACCGGCGGCUCGAGUGGUAACCGUUAUUAUUGGGUCUAAAGGGUCUGUAGCCGGCCGGAUAAGUCUCUUGGGAAAUCUGGCAGCUUAACUGUCAGGCUUUCAGGAGAUACUGUCUGGCUCGAGGCCGGGAGAGGUGAGAGGUACUUCAGGGGUAGGGGUGAAAUCUUGUAAUCCUUGAAGGACCACCAGUGGCGAAGGCGUCUCACCAGAACGGACCUGACGGCAAGGGACGAAAGCUAGGGGCACGAACCGGAUUAGAUACCCGGGUAGUCCUAGCCGUAAACGAUACUCGCUAGGUGUCGGCAACGGUGCGACCGUUGUCGGUGCCGUAGGGAAGCCGUGAAGCGAGCCACCUGGGAAGUACGGCCGCAAGGCUGAAACUUAAAGGAAUUGGCGGGGGAGCAC